RNAcentral lists this ribosomal RNA (846 nucleotides) under uncultured bacterium. RNAcentral describes it as "bacterial SSU rRNA". It matches the Rfam family "Bacterial small subunit ribosomal RNA", at positions 8 to 796 of the family's 1533-position model. The record is from RNAcentral.
AGAGUUUGAUCAUGGCUCAGGAUGAACGCUGGCGGCGUGCUUAAUACAUGCAAGUCGAGCGGUAAGGUUCUGCACUUAGUAUUUGACCAGAUAAGUCCAUGCAAAUGGAUACUAUCUGAAGCAAGGCAUCUCCAAGGCUGGAGGUUCCGAGUCGAAUGUUAAGUGUAGAAUACACGAGCGGCGGACGGGUGAGUAACGCGUAAGAAUGUACCCCCAAAGUGAGGGAUAAUUCCGGGAAACCGGGACUAAUACCGCAUGUGCUCUUCGGAGUAAAGCUUUAUGCGCUUUGGGAACAGCUUGCGUCUGAUUAGCUAGUUGGUAAGGUAACGGCUUACCAAGGCGACGAUCAGUAGCUGGUCUGAGAGGAUGACCAGCCACACUGGGACUGAGACACGGCCCAGACUCCUACGGGAGGCAGCAGUAGGGAAUUUUCCACAAUGGGCGAGAGCCUGAUGGAGCAACGCCGCGUGCAGGAUGAAGGCCUUAGGGUCGUAAACUGCUUUUGUCUGUGACGAAUAUGACGGUAACAGACGAAUAAGGGUCGGCUAACUACGUGCCAGCAGCCGCGGUCAUACGUAGGACCCAAGCGUUAUCCGGAUUUACUGGGCGUAAAGAGUUGCGUAGGUGGUCUGUUAAGUAAAUAGUGAAAUCGUGUGGCUCAACCAUGCAUCCAUUAUUUAAACUGGCAGACUUGAGAGUGAGAGAGGUAGAUGGAAUUGCUAGUGUAGGAGUGGAAUCCGUAGAUAUUAGCAGGAACACCGAUGGCGUAGGCAGUCUACUGGCUCAUUUCUGACACUAAGGCACGAAAGCGUGGGGAGCAAACAGGAUUAGAUACCCUAGUAGUCC